This is a long non-coding RNA of Dromaius novaehollandiae (emu), 733 nucleotides long. NCBI's taxonomy places the organism in Eukaryota, Metazoa, Chordata, Aves, Casuariiformes, Dromaiidae. The record is from Ensembl.
ACAGUACUUAGUUCUUUGAAGAGUCUAAAUUUACAAGGUAGAAGGGUUUCAAAAAUACGUAUUUGACUUGCGUUACACCAACUUCCAAGUUGCAAGGUUUAUCUAUUAACAGAAGAAAGCUAAAUUGUAACUCCUGUUCUUAGUGGUUAACACCUGAAAUUAAGUUAGAGCAAGUUCUAAAAGCUGUGCUUUUUUUAAUCAGCUUGCAGAAUGUGACCACAGUUACAAACCACAAAACUAAAACCCGUUCAGAAGAAAGUGAAAUAGUCAGCGUUCAAGAACAAGAGGGGAUUAUUUCUUCAUUUGAACUAGCAGCACAGUCUUCAAAAGGAAGUCAGACAACAGCAGUGAAAAGUUUGCCUUCUUCACCAGAAUCGUCAUUGUCACCAGCUCCAUCUACACAACCACAGCUCACAGAAGGAUCACAUUUCAUGUGUGUAUAGUUACAGAGAACACUAAUGGCUUCUGUUGAAACAAUUCAUGCCUGAGAUGUAUGGACCUGACCUAUGGAAAUAUGAGAAGAUAUUGUACAGUAUAUUUUAAAUCUAUGAAAUUCAUAGUUCUGAUGCUUUUGGCCACAGAGCAUCAUUUUAUCACUUCCUGGAAAAUGUUUAUUCCAAGAGAGCUUUAAAUGGCCCAUAUGUACACUCAGCAACGUUCAGAUUGUUCUCCUGAUAGCAGCUUGCUGCUAUGAUUUCUGUGCACAUAAAAUAAAGGUUCUUUUUAAUGUGCA